GACGAACGCUGGCGGCGUGCUUAACACAUGCAAGUCGAACGGUGAAGCGCCUUCCUUUUUGGUGGGUGUGGAUGAGUGGCGAACGGGUGAGUAACACGUGAGUAACCUGCCCCCUUCUUCUGGAUAACCGCAUGAAAGUGUGGCUAAUACGGGAUAUUCUGGGUCUGUCGCAUGAUGGGUCUGGGAAAGAUAUUGUUUCGGUGGGGGAUGGGCUCGCGGCCUAUCAGCUUGUUGGUGGGGUGAUGGCCUACCAAGGCGGUGACGGGUAGCCGGUCUGAGAGGGUGGACGGUCACACUGGGACUGAGACACGGACAAGACUCCUACGGGAGGCAGCAGUGGGGAAUAUUGCACAAUGGGCGCAAGCCUGAUGCAGCGACGCCGCGUGAGGGAUGGAGGCCUUCGGGUUGUGAACCUCUUUCGCCAGUGAAGCAGGCCUGCCUCGUUUGUGGGUGGGUUGACGGUAGCUGGAUAAGAAGCGCCGGCUAACUACGUG
RNAcentral lists this ribosomal RNA (494 nucleotides) under uncultured bacterium. RNAcentral describes it as "partial 16S ribosomal RNA". It matches the Rfam family "Bacterial small subunit ribosomal RNA", at positions 28 to 507 of the family's 1533-position model. The record is from RNAcentral.